UACGUAGGUGGCGAGCGUUGUCCGGAUUUACUGGGCGUAAAGCGCGCGCAGGCGGUCGUACAAGUCGCGUGUGAAAGCCCCCGGCUCAACUGGGGAGGGUCACGCGAUACUGUUCGACUCGAAGGCAGGAGAGGGAAGUGGAAUUCCCGGUGUAGUGGUGAAAUGCGUAGAUAUCGGGAGGAACACCGGUGGCGAAGGCGGCAUCCUGGACCAAUAUUGACGCUGAGGGGCGAAAGCCAGGGGAGCAAACGGG
Molecule: ribosomal RNA, 253 nt
Filed under: uncultured bacterium
Lineage: Bacteria
Description: partial 16S ribosomal RNA
Rfam family: Bacterial small subunit ribosomal RNA
Source: RNAcentral